GAUGAAGAACGCAGCGAAAUGCGAUAGGUAAUGUGAAUUGCAGAAUUCAGUGAAUCAUCGAAUCUUUGAACGCACAUUGCGCCCGCCAGUAUUCUGGCGGGCAUGCCUGUUCGAGCGUCAUUUCAACCCUCAAGCUCAGCUUGGUGUUGGGACUCGCGGUAACCCGCGUUCCCCAAAUCGAUUGGCGGUCACGUCGAGCUUCCAUAGCGUAGUAAUCAUACACCUCGUUACUGGUAAUCGUCGCGGCCACGCCGUAAAACCCCAACUUCUGAAUGUUGACCUCGGAUCAGGUAGGAAUACCCGCUGAACUUAAGCAUAUCAAUAAGCGGAGGA
Molecule: unclassified non-coding RNA, 333 nt
Filed under: soil metagenome
Description: partial contains 5.8S ribosomal RNA, internal transcribed spacer 2, and large subunit ribosomal RNA
Rfam family: 5.8S ribosomal RNA (bases 1-120)
Source: RNAcentral